GCCCCGUUCGUCUAGUGGCCUAGGACGCCGGCCUCUCACGCCGGUAACACGGGUUCGAAUCCCGUACGGGGUACAA
RNAcentral lists this transfer RNA (76 nucleotides) under Corynebacterium mustelae. RNAcentral describes it as "tRNA-Glu". It matches the Rfam family "tRNA". From Rfam's summary of the family: Transfer RNA (tRNA) molecules are approximately 80 nucleotides in length. Their secondary structure includes four short double-helical elements and three loops (D, anti-codon, and T loops). RNAcentral also lists the same sequence under 3 other names. The record is from RNAcentral. Lineage: Bacteria; Bacillati; Actinomycetota; Actinomycetes; Mycobacteriales; Corynebacteriaceae.